RNAcentral lists this ribosomal RNA (433 nucleotides) under uncultured bacterium. RNAcentral describes it as "partial 16S ribosomal RNA". It matches the Rfam family "Bacterial small subunit ribosomal RNA", at positions 29 to 507 of the family's 1533-position model. The record is from RNAcentral.
AACGAACGCUGGCGGCAUGCCUAACACAUGCAAGUCGAACGAGACCUUCGGGUCUAGUGGCGCACAGGUGCGUAACGCGUGGGAACCUGCCCUUAGGUUCGGAAUAACUCCCCGAAAGGGGUGCUAAUACCGGAUAAUGUCUUCGGACCAAAGAUUUAUCGCCUUUGGAUGGGCCCGCGUUGGAUUAGCUAGUUGGUAGGGUAAAAGCCUACCAAGGCGACGAUCCAUAGCUGGUCUGAGAGGAUGAUCAGCCACACUGGGACUGAGACACGGCCCAGACUCCUACGGGAGGCAGCAGUGGGGAAUAUUGGACAAUGGGCGAAAGCCUGAUCCAGCAAUGCCGCGUGAGUGAUGAAGGCCUUAGGGUUGUAAAGCUCUUUUACCCGGGAUGAUAAUGACAGUACCGGGAGAAUAAGCUCCGGCUAACUCCAUG